GGGGACCCGCAAGCGGUGGAUGAUGUGGUUUAAUUCGAAGCAACGCGAAAAACCUUACCUACCCUUGACAUGUCUAAAAGUUACCAGAGAUGGUUUCGUGCUCGAAAGAGAACUAGAACACAGGUGCUGCAUGGCCGUCGUCAGCUCGUGUCGUGAGAUGUUGGGUUAAGUCCCGCAACGAGCGCAACCCUUAUCAUUAGUUGCUACGCAAGGGCACUCCAAUGAGACUGCCGGUGACAAACCGGAGGAAGGUGGGGAUGACGUCAGGUCAUCAUGGCCCUUAUGGGUAGGGCUACACACGUCAUACAAUGGCCGGUACAGAGGGCUGCCAACCCGCGAGGGGGAGCUAAUCUCAGAAAACCGGUCGUAGUCCGGAUCGCAGUCUGCAACUCGACUGCGUGAAGUCGGAAUCGCUAGUAAUCGCGGAUCAGCUUGCCGCGGUGAAUACGUUCCCGGGUCUUGUACACACC
RNAcentral lists this ribosomal RNA (470 nucleotides) under uncultured bacterium. Its description in RNAcentral is "bacterial SSU rRNA". It matches the Rfam family "Bacterial small subunit ribosomal RNA", at positions 915 to 1391 of the family's 1533-position model. The record is from RNAcentral.